This is a long non-coding RNA of Zalophus californianus (California sea lion), 3334 nucleotides long. RefSeq lists it as uncharacterized. The record is from RefSeq and is a predicted model, not a curated record. Lineage: Eukaryota; Metazoa; Chordata; Mammalia; Carnivora; Otariidae. The transcript has 4 exons.
CCCGACCUUGGGAGAAAUUGGGGAAAGUUACUCUGCAGAGUCUUCUUUCUGCUCCUAAGGCCACCCCUCUGGUGUCCUCAGGUGUCGACACUACUCACCCAGCCCGAGGCGACAGAAAAUGACGUAGGCGCUCUAACCCACACUCGGGAAGGGGUAGACUGAGCCGACGGACGACCACAUUCUCUAUGAUGCCCCAGGGGACGCCACAGCUGGGAGCCCGGCCGGCCAUGCAGCCAGCCCGAAGAAAAGACUAAGAAUAGGUAGAGGUGGAAAGAGAAUCAAUUUAAGCCAUUGAGUGGCUUACCGCCGCUCCAGUUAGCCAGAUACAUAAGAUCCGGCAGUCAGCUGAGCCAGUACCCAGGAACCGACCCAAAAGAGGGGUAGUGCGGCGGCCAAGCUCGAGCUCUGGUGCACUUCCGGUCCUUCUAGCCGGAGACCUUUGUGCUGGGGCAUCAGUCUUUUCCUGUCUAUGGACUCAAACCGAAAUUUUGGCUCUCCUGGGUCUCCAUCUUGCCAACUGCAGAUCUCGGAACUCCCGAUCCUCCACAGUCACCUGUCAUUUGAGGAGCCUUCUGAAUGCUGAGUGUUGAUGGAAGUGCUCUGGGUCACUAGCCCCUGGUGACACUUCUGAACCCCAAGGAUGAAGAGUUCCUACAAUUUUCCAUGGAGACAACCAGGUGACCACCCAAGGAAUGAGAAUGAAUUUGGCACUGGACUUUUUACUGGCGACAUGGCAUGCUGGAAAGAGGUAGAUCUUCAGAGUUCUAAGAGAACAUGAUGUUGUGUCCAGAAUUCUAUAAUCAGUUAAACUAUUUAUUGAAAGUGAUCACAAAAUAAAGGUAUUAAUUGGAAAUGCAAAAACUAGAAAGCUUACCUCCCAGAGAACUCCCCCUGCCAACUUUGUUUGAGAAUGGAUGCAAUCUAAAUGAACAGAGAACAGGGAAUCCAAGAGGCACCAGCACCACAAGGCAAUGGACGGAUGUGAAUGAGGCCUCUGCUUCAGGCUGGGAGAGCAACUAGUCUAAAUGAGAAUAAGGAUUUGAGGUGUUGCAUAGGACACCUUCAGGGAGAACCCUAGCCUGCUCUUCCUCAGGGGAGUGCUCACAUUCUACAGUCAUUUAUUCUCCUUCUCACUAUGGAGCAUCACUCUGUCUAGCUCCUUCUUUUCCCCCCCUUUUUCUUAAGCAUAGAGCCUCAAACUGCAUAACUCUGUGUGACCUGAGGCUGGAUGAAAUGACCUGUGAAUGUUGGCAGAGACUGGUCCUUCAGUAGACAGCAGGGAAAGACAUGUCCUGGGGCCUAGGAGGGAAGAGUUGUUAUUAAAGAGGGUGCAGUUCCUUCAUGCUGGGUUCAUGCAGGAGUGACUGUCACAGAUGGAGGGAGUCACUCACAACUGCCGCCUGUAAGGAGCUUCUUGAUGGUAUUAUCUGUUAUCUGUUGUUGUGGAACAAAAACCCUGAAACAUAGUGGCUUAAAAAACAAGUGCUUAUUUGCUUAUAGUUAUUGAGGGUCAGAAAUCCAGGAACAGUCUCAGUUGUGUGGUUCUGGAUAAGGGUCUCUCCUGAGGUGGUAGUCAAGCUACCAGCUGGACUGCAUCUUCUGAAGUCUUGCUGGAGCUGGAGAAUUUACUCCCAAGAUGACACACUUACAUAACUGGCAGUUAAUGCAGGCUGCCUCUGUUCUCCCCCACAUGGCUUCUGAUUCUUCAGGGGGGAUUAGUUUAAACUUUCUAUGAUUACUAGGCAGAGAGAGCAAGAGGGAGAGGGAAAAAGAGAGGGAGAGACUGAGGGAGAAAGAGUAGGAGCCAGAGUGAAAGAGAUUGAGCAAGUGAAUAGAGAGUGUUUAUAAGACAGAAGCUAUAGACUUUUCAUAACAAAAUUCUGGAAUUCUUGGACAUUCCAUUUUUUGCUGCCAUAUUCCAUUAGUCACUCCAGGGAAGGAUUAAACAAAGCCAUGAAAAUAGGAGAUAAUGUUGGAGGCCAUCUUAAAGGUGCCUACCACCGAUCUAGGGGCAGGUCAAGAUUGUGUUUUCUAUUCCUAUUUGACCCCACCCCUGCUGGGAUUCCCUGUGGCACUGAGGAGAAAACUCUUCAUUGGAGCUUCUGAUCACUUUGUCUCCUUGAUGAUCUCUCCUCUUUGUCUUUGACUGCUUUUCUACGUUAGCUUCCUAUGUGGUAAAAUACAUGGUCUCAAACUCCCCAAAAGACCUCAGGCUUCCUGGUGUGACUUGGUUUUCUUCUUGGCUGAGCUAUGGGAGGCUCCAGUGGGUGUGGGCUCUUCUUUACCCUCCCUCAUCAUGAUCACCCAGGAGAGGCAGGUUAGGGUUGGGUUUACUCUAAGAACUCUGCACCUACAGCCAUUCUGAUCUCUAAAACCCUUUGACUACUCAUCACAAUUCUCUCUCUCAUCCCUCAUGGGGGGAUGAGAGAUCUCAGGAUGCAGUAUAGUGCUGUGUAUGGGACUGUCUUCUGCUUCCUGAACUUUCCAAAGGGGACACUUAACAAGCUCAGUUGGAAAAAGAAUGAGAUGCAACUAUGCCUUCAAGGCUUCCAUGUGAAUGCAGGUCUCUCCCAGCAGACUCUUCUCUUUCCAAUGGAUGGACAAUCUGAGGACACUCACCUUUUGGUGGAACUGUCUUUCAGUGUUAUCCCUUCUUAGCCAUGAAGAGAAGGAAUGAUAAUGAUAAUACCAAACAUUUACAGAAUUACAUGCUUGACCCUAUUCUAAGUGCUUUAUGUGCUUUAACUCAUUAAAUCCUCACAUUACCUGGAUGUAGAUGGACAUCUUAGGAUGUAAUAUUAUUAUCACUAUAUUAACUAUUGGGAAACUAAGACAGUGGAAUAUCAGUUGACUUGCCCAAGAUCACAUGGCAAGGGCACGCUGGAACCAGGAUUCUUAAACACUCUACUAUGCCUCUUUCAGUUCACUUCCAUUCAAUGUGAACUUCACUCUCUAUCCCAGUGAAUAUUUAUGAUAACCUCUGAUAAGCCCUCUUUUUUGAGCAGAAGCCUAAAGAUGGGCCACAAUUUUAUACAUUAAGCCAGUUCAGAUGUCCACCAAAUUCAGAUUGGACUCCACACUAGGUGAAAUCUUCCCAGGUAAAUAGAGUAAAGUGAUGGUGGUGACAGGGAAGGAAGGUUGCUCUUGUGAGGACUGAAUGAUUCCCACAGUGGUGAGAACCAGGUUAUGACGUCUGGUGGUGGAGAGUGAGGUUUCAAAUUUUAUCUGAAAAUUUUUUUGUACAAAAAAAACAGUUUUUUAAAAUUCUUUUUUUAAAAUAUUCCAUUUAUUUAUUCAUGAGAGACAGAGGGAGAGAGAGAGGGAGAGAGAGAGA